UGUAGCUUGGUGUAAGUGGCAUGUCACAGUUUGGGUGUGAUGGUGAUUAGAGGUUAGCUACAU
Molecule: transfer RNA, 63 nt
Filed under: Prosthogonimus cuneatus
Lineage: Eukaryota; Metazoa; Platyhelminthes; Trematoda; Plagiorchiida; Prosthogonimidae
Description: tRNA-Gln
Source: RNAcentral